ACUCCUACGGGAGGCAGCAGUGGGGAAUAUUGCACAAUGGGCGCAAGCCUGAUGCAGCCAUGCCGCGUGUAUGAAGAAGGCCUUCGGGUUGUAAAGUACUUUCAGCAGUGAGGAAGGUGGGUAUGUUAAUAGCAUAUUCAUUUGACGUUAGCUGCAGAAGAAGCACCGGCUAACUCCGUGCCAGCAGCCGCGGUAAUACGGAGGGUGCGAGCGUUAAUCGGAAUUACUGGGCGUAAAGCGCAUGCAGGUGGUUUGUUAAGUCAGAUGUGAAAGCCCGGGGCUCAACCUCGGAAUUGCAUUUGAAACUGGCAAACUAGAAGUACUGUAGAGGGGGGGUAGAAUUUCAGGUGUAAGCGGUGAAAUGCGUAGAGAUCUGAAGGAAUACCGGUAGGCGAAAGGCGGCCCCCCUGGACAGAUACUGACACUCAGAUGCGAAAGCGUGGGGAGCAAACAGGAUUAGAUACCCUGGUAGGCUACUGC
Molecule: ribosomal RNA, 480 nt
Filed under: uncultured bacterium
Lineage: Bacteria
Description: bacterial SSU rRNA
Rfam family: Bacterial small subunit ribosomal RNA
Source: RNAcentral